RNAcentral lists this ribosomal RNA (462 nucleotides) under uncultured bacterium. RNAcentral's name for it is "partial 16S ribosomal RNA". It matches the Rfam family "Bacterial small subunit ribosomal RNA", at positions 330 to 793 of the family's 1533-position model. The record is from RNAcentral.
ACCAGACUCCUACGGGAGGCAGCAGUGGGGAAUAUUGCACAAUGGGGGGAACCCUGAUGCAGCGACGCCGCGUGGGUGAAGGAGCACCUCGGUGCGUAAAGCCCUCUCGGCAGGGAAGAAAAGCGAACAGGUUCGCCUGGACGGUACCUGACUAAGAAGCCCCGGCUAACUACGUGCCAGCAGCCGCGGCAAUACGUAGGGGGCAAGCGUUAUCCGGGUUCACUGGGUGGAAAGGGAGCGUAGACGGCGGCGCAAGUGUGGAGUGAAAGCCCGGGGCCCAACCCCGGGACUGCUCUGGAAACUGCGGCGCUGGAGUACGGGAGGGGGAGGCGGAAUUCCUGGUGUAGCGGUGAAAUGCGUAGAUAUCAGGAGGAACACCGGCGGCGAAGGCGGCCUGCUGGACUGCAACUGACGUUGAGGCCCGAAAGCGUGGGGAGCAAACAGGAUUAGAUACCCCAGUAU